GGCAACUAGCCUCCGAGAGGGGGUGUCCCACAUGCAUGAAAUCUUCGUUGUGCUCAUUGCACCGAUCCUCGUCGGUGUCGCGACUUCGCUUGUCGAUCAUUGGCUGGAUGAUGACAAAUGAGCAUGAGCUAGCUGCCAUCUAACCCACGCGUCGGUUUGCAUCCAAGCCCUCGAAAAA
This 178-nucleotide non-coding RNA is filed under the name Lacticaseibacillus camelliae DSM 22697 = JCM 13995. RNAcentral's name for it is "Lactobacillus camelliae DSM 22697 = JCM 13995 Enterococcus sRNA B11". It matches the Rfam family "Enterococcus sRNA B11". Rfam says of the family: Name 'Ref' stands for RNA in E. faecalis. Lineage: Bacteria; Bacillati; Bacillota; Bacilli; Lactobacillales; Lactobacillaceae. The record is from Rfam by way of RNAcentral.